Molecule: long non-coding RNA, 385 nt
Filed under: Capsicum annuum
Lineage: Eukaryota; Viridiplantae; Streptophyta; Magnoliopsida; Solanales; Solanaceae
Description: long non-coding RNA (CANN_LNC009376)
Source: RNAcentral
GGAGAACUUUUACCUCAUUAAGUUCAUUCACAAACAAAAUUCUGAAAAAUUCCUCCUUCAUAGACCUUGGUUCAUCGGCUCUCAAUAUCUUUCCACCCGUAAAUGGGAACCCAAGUUCAAUCGCUUAACGGAAAGCCCAAACUACACUACUAUUUGGAUACGACUUCCUGAAUUUUUCACUGAAUACUACGAUCUCCAAAUCCUGCAAAAAAUUGACAACACUAUAGGAACUGUCCUAAAAAUAGACAGUUGCACAAGAAAUGCUUCAAAAGGACGAUACGCUAGAUUAUGCAUUUUAACACCUCUUAAUAAACCUCUCCCUCCAAAUGUUCUUAUUGGGUCUUACCUCCAAAAGAUUCUUUUUGAAAGUACCACUCCUUUAUGC